RNAcentral lists this ribosomal RNA (498 nucleotides) under uncultured bacterium. RNAcentral describes it as "partial 16S ribosomal RNA". It matches the Rfam family "Bacterial small subunit ribosomal RNA", at positions 29 to 523 of the family's 1533-position model. The record is from RNAcentral.
AUUGAGCGCUGGCGGCAUGCUUUACACAUGCAAGUCGAACGGUAACAGGCCGCAAGGUGCUGACGAGUGGCGAACGGGUGAGUAAUGCAUCGGAACGUGCCCAGUCGUGGGGGAUAACGCAGCGAAAGCUGUGCUAAUACCGCAUACGAUCUAUGGAUGAAAGCGGGGGACCGUAAGGCCUCGCGCGAUUGGAGCGGCCGAUGUCAGAUUAGGUAGUUGGUGGGGUAAAGGCUCACCAAGCCAACGAUCUGUAGCUGGUCUGAGAGGACGACCAGCGACACUGGGACUGAGACACGGCCCAGACUCCUACGGGAGGCAGCAGUGGGGAAUUUUGGACAAUGGGCGCAAGCCUGAUCCAGCAAUGCCGCGUGCAGGAAGAAGGCCUUCGGGUUGUAAACUGCUUUUGUACGGAACGAAAAGGUUUGGGUUAAUACCCUGGGCCGAUGACGGUACCGUAAGAAUAAGCACCGGCUAACUACGUGCCAGCCGCCGCGGUAA